Molecule: ribosomal RNA, 593 nt
Filed under: uncultured bacterium
Lineage: Bacteria
Description: bacterial SSU rRNA
Rfam family: Bacterial small subunit ribosomal RNA
Source: RNAcentral
GUCCGAUUAGAUAGUUGGUGAGGUAAUGGCCCACCAAGGCAACGAUCGGUAGCCGGACUGAGAGGUUGAACGGCCACAUUGGGACUGAGACACGGCCCAGACUCCUACGGGAGGCAGCAGUGGGGAAUAUUGCACAAUGGGGGAAACCCUGAUGCAGCGACGCCGCGUGGAGGAAGAAGGUCUUCGGAUUGUAAACUCCUGUUGUUGAGGAAGAUAAUGACGGUACUCAACAAGGAAGUGACGGCUAACUACGUGCCAGCAGCCGCGGUAAAACGUAGGUCACAAGCGUUGUCCGGAAUUACUGGGUGUAAAGGGAGCGCAGGCGGGAAGACAAGUUGGAAGUGAAAUCCAUGGGCUCAACCCAUGAACUGCUUUCAAAACUGUUUUUCUUGAGUAGUGCAGAGGUAGGCGGAAUUCCCGGUGUAGCGGUGGAAUGCGUAGAUAUCGGGAGGAACACCAGUGGCGAAGGCGGCCUACUGGGCACCAACUGACGCUGAGGCUCGAAAGUGUGGGUAGCAAACAGGAUUAGAUACCCUGGUAGUCCACACCGUAAACGAUGAAUAGUAGGUGUUGGAGGAUUGACCCCUUCAGUG